CUACGGGGGGCAGCAGUGAGGAAUAUUGCACAAUGGGGGGAACCCUGAUGCAGCAACGCCGCGUGGAGGAUGACGCAUUUCGGUGUGUAAACUCCUUUUAUAUGUCAAGAAAAUGACGGUAGCAUAUGAAUAAGCACCGGCUAACUCCGUGCCAGCAGCCGCGGUAAUACGGAGGGUGCAAGCGUUACUCGGAAUCACUGGGCGUAAAGGACGCGUAGGCGGGUUGGAAAGUCAGGUGUGAAAUCCUACAGCUUAACUGUAGAACUGCACUUGAAACUGCUAAUCUAGAGUAUGGGAGGGGGAGAUGGAAUUAGUGGUGUAGGGGUAAAAUCUGUAGAUAUCACUAGGAAUACCUAAAGCGAAGGCGAUCUCCUGGAACAUUACUGACGCUAAGGCGUGAAAGCGUGGGGAGCAAACAGGAUUAGAUACCCCGGUAGUC
RNAcentral lists this ribosomal RNA (439 nucleotides) under uncultured bacterium. Its description in RNAcentral is "partial 16S ribosomal RNA". It matches the Rfam family "Bacterial small subunit ribosomal RNA", at positions 339 to 795 of the family's 1533-position model. The record is from RNAcentral.